GAGUUUGAUCCUGGCUCAGGAUGAACGCUAGCGGGAGGCCUAACACAUGCAAGCCGAGCGGUAUGAUUCUUUCGGGAAUCAGAGAGCGGCGUACGGGUGCGGAACACGUGUGCAACCUGCCUUUAUCUGGGGGAUAGCCUUUCGAAAGGAAGAUUAAUACCCCAUAAUAUAUUGAGUGGCAUCACUUAAUAUUGAAAACUCCGGUGGAUAGAGAUGGGCACGCGCAAGAUUAGAUAGUUGGUGGGGUAACGGCCUACCAAGUCGAUGAUCUUUAGGGGGCCUGAGAGGGUGAUCCCCCACACUGGUACUGAGACACGGACCAGACUCCUACGGGAGGCAGCAGUGAGGAAUAUUGGACAAUGGGUGCAAGCCUGAUCCAGCCAUCCCGCGUGAAGGACGACGGCCCUAUGGGUUGUAAACUUCUUUUGUACAGGGAUAAACCUAGAUACGUGUAUCUAGCUGAAGGUACUGUACGAAUAAGCACCGGCUAACUCCGUGCCAGCAGCCGCGGUAAUACGGAGGGUGCAAGCGUUAUCCGGAUUUAUUGGGUUUAAAGGGUCCGUAGGCGGAUCAGUAAGUCAGUGGUGAAAUCUCAUAGCUUAACUAUGAAACUGCCAUUGAUACUGCUGGUCUUGAGUAAGGUAGAAGUAGCUGGAAUAAGUAGUGUAGCGGUGAAAUGCAUAGAUAUUACUUAGAACACCAAUUGCGAAGGCAGGUUACUAUGUCUUAACUGACGCUGAUGGACGAAAGCGUGGGGAGCGAACAGGAUUAGAUACCCUGGUAGUCCACGCUGUAAACGAUGCUAACUCGUUUUUGGGUUUUCGGAUUCAGAGACUAAGCGAAAGUGAUAAGUUAGCCACCUGGGGAGUACGAACGCAAGUUUGAAACUCAAAGGAAUUGACGGGGGCCCGCACAAGCGGUGGAUUAUGUGGUUUAAUUCGAUGAUACGCGAGGAACCUUACCAAGGCUUAAAUGGGAAUUGAUCGGUUUAGAAAUAGACCUUCCUUCGGGCAAUUUUCAAGGUGCUGCAUGGUUGUCGUCAGCUCGUGCCGUGAGGUGUUAGGUUAAGUCCUGCAACGAGCGCAACCCCUGUCACUAGUUGCCAUCAUUAAGUUGGGGACUCUAGUGAGACUGCCUACGCAAGUAGAGAGGAAGGUGGGGAUGACGUCAAAUCAUCACGGCCCUUACGCCUUGGGCCACACACGUAAUACAAUGGCCGGUACAGAGGGCAGCUACACAGCGAUGUGAUGCAAAUCUCGAAAGCCGGUCUCAGUUCGGAUUGGAGUCUGCAACUCGACUCUAUGAAGCUGGAAUCGCUAGUAAUCGCGCAUCAGCCAUGGCGCGGUGAAUACGUUCCCGGGCCUUGUACACACCGCCCGUCAAGCCAUGGAAGUCUGGGGUACCUGAAGUCGGUGACCGUAAAAGGAGCUGCCUAGGGUAAAACAG
RNAcentral lists this ribosomal RNA (1446 nucleotides) under Chryseobacterium daecheongense. Its description in RNAcentral is "16S ribosomal RNA". It matches the Rfam family "Bacterial small subunit ribosomal RNA". Lineage: Bacteria; Pseudomonadati; Bacteroidota; Flavobacteriia; Flavobacteriales; Weeksellaceae. RNAcentral also lists the same sequence under 1 other name. The record is from RNAcentral.